AAGAGUAUUUUGUAGAGGUAAAAAACAAAACAAAAAUAAGAGAGAACACGAGGCACCGGCGCAACAAUAUUGAAACAGUUGGUUUUUGGGCAGGUGUUGGAUAGGGUCGAAAGGGGUUUCUGACAGCUUACAAGGUAAUCACUAUCGUGAUCAGCAAAGUAUUCGAUGACAAUCCAAUCCUCUGUGUACGGCAGAAAGCGCAGCGAAGAACACUCCAGCAACAGAUCGCGAUAGUGAUCGAUGCGUUGCGGCACGGGCAGUUCACGCAUUUUGAAAUAACAUGGAAUUUGGGAGCUCUCAAAUUGUUUGGCUGUCAGCUGGGACUUUUCCAAAUAGCGCUUAAAAAACAGCAUCGUAUCGGGCGGUGAUUUGAUAACUGAUUGAGGGGCACACUACACACAUUAAAGAUACAAACUUGCAAGAAAUUUGGCAAGCAGAGAGCGAAUACGCCAGCUGUGAUUCUGAUAUGUGAGAUUUUCAAUUAUUGUUUGAUUGCUCAGCCCAAAUCGUUCGUUUGUUUUGUUGGGUGUUGUUUUAGAAAAUGAAAAGUUUUUACCUUAGCUUGCGAUUGGCGAUUGUUGCGCCCGCUGUCGCGCUCAUCCUUGGCGCGAUCGCGAUGCCGGCGCCGUGAGCUGGAGUGUGAGGUCUCCUCCCUAUAACGGUACUUAUGCUGCCGCCGGCCAGUGACGGGCGAUUUGCGAUGCGAGCGCUUGGAACGCUCCUUGCGCCGCCGGGACGACGAGA
Molecule: long non-coding RNA, 744 nt
Organism: Drosophila montana
Lineage: Eukaryota; Metazoa; Arthropoda; Insecta; Diptera; Drosophilidae
Exons: 2
Source: RefSeq, a predicted model, not a curated record